CCAAAGGCCCUCUUUAGGGCCACCUAUUUUUCUGUUAUAUUUAAAAU
Molecule: regulatory RNA element, 47 nt
Organism: Strongyloides ratti
Lineage: Eukaryota; Metazoa; Nematoda; Chromadorea; Rhabditida; Strongyloididae
Rfam family: Histone 3' UTR stem-loop
About the family: The mRNAs of metazoan histone genes lack a poly-A tail. 3' end processing occurs at a site between a highly conserved stem-loop (modelled by this family) and a purine rich region around 20 nts downstream (the histone downstream element, or HDE). The stem-loop is bound by a 31 kDa stem-loop binding protein (SLBP - also termed the histone hairpin binding protein, or HBP).
Source: Rfam